UACGUAGGCAGCGAGCGUUGUUCGGAGUUACUGGGCGUAAAGGGUGUGUAGGCGGUUGUUUAAGUUUGGUGUGAAAUCUCCCGGCUCAACUGGGAAGGUGCGCCGAAUACUGAAUGACUUCGAGUGCGGGAGAGGAAAGUGGAAUUCCUAGUGUAGCGGUGAAAUGCGUAGAUAUCAGGAGGAACACCGGUGGUGUAGACGGCUUUCUGGACCGUAACUGACGCUGAGACGCGAAAGCGUGGGGAGCAAACAGG
This 254-nucleotide ribosomal RNA is filed under the name uncultured bacterium. RNAcentral describes it as "partial 16S ribosomal RNA". It matches the Rfam family "Bacterial small subunit ribosomal RNA", at positions 524 to 776 of the family's 1533-position model. The record is from RNAcentral.